Molecule: ribosomal RNA, 377 nt
Filed under: Paralembus sp.
Lineage: Eukaryota; Ciliophora; Oligohymenophorea; Philasterida; Philasteridae
Description: partial small subunit ribosomal RNA
Rfam family: Eukaryotic small subunit ribosomal RNA
Source: RNAcentral
AUUCCAGCUCCAAUAGCGUAUAUUAAAGUUGUUGCAGUUAAAAAGCUCGUAGUUGAACUUCUGUGUGUGCCCAGUUCUGGCUUCGGUCAAGCUGUGGUGCUCACAUCCGCUUGCAAACCUAGUCCGGCCUUCAUUGGUCGACUAGGGGAGUAGGCUUUUUACUUUGAAAAAAUUAGAGUGUUUCAAGCAGGCAAUGGCUCGAAUACAUUAGCAUGGAAUAAUGGAAUAGGACUUUUGUCCAUUUGGUUGGUUAUUGGACAUGAGUAAUGAUUAACAGGGACAGUUGGGGGCAUUAGUAUUUAAUUGUCAGAGGUGAAAUUCUUGGAUUUAUUAAAGACUAACUUAUGCGAAAGCAUUUGCCAAGGAUGUUUUCAUUG